This 2295-nucleotide long non-coding RNA is filed under the name Taeniopygia guttata (zebra finch). RNAcentral's name for it is "lncRNA (ENSTGUG00000027787.1)". The record is from RNAcentral. Lineage: Eukaryota; Metazoa; Chordata; Aves; Passeriformes; Estrildidae.
UCACAGGCAGUGCAGCCCAUAGAUGUGAAUUACCAAAUCUCCUGUGUGUCUUGGUUUUUUAGCAGCUCAUGCACCUGACCAUGAAGAGACAACCAGGUGAUGCUCAACAGAAUUGAAAACUGAUCAUAAAAGAUGGAAGAAAAAAAAAAAAAAGGAAGAAAAUGCUUAUUGAAGUUUGUACCUUUUUCAGUGAAGAUAAUGGCUCGGCUUCUCUUCAUAGAUUUUUAUUCUGUACUCACAGGUAGUGAGAAGUUCAGUGACAUCCAGAAAGACAUUGUCCAGAAAGACAAGUGACAUUCAGACAUUCUGAAUGUCUGGCUUGCUGUUUGCUCUUUCCUAGCAAGAGAAAGCCAAGGACUUGGCUUGGUAGGUCAUGGGUUGAAAUGCACAGUGUUUCUGUCUUUAAUCAACAUAUAAGAAACAAAUAUUGGUAUCUCCCCAAGGCAUUGAAGGAAAUAAUGACAAUCAGAAUAGCUGAGGAUCUGACAGAUUGGGUACAGUGCUGAAAGUGGAUCAGAGGGGAAGAAAGGUUGUGUAGGGUGGUGGAGGCUGGACUUGUCUCCUAGUUCUACACUCUCACUUAGUCCAUGUCAGAGAGCUGUGCUGAGCCCCACUUCUCACUUCAUUGAACAAGCCCCAUUUUCUGUGGCAGAGUAUGGAAGAAUUCAACAAAUAACAUUUCCAGCAUACUUCUGAAGGGACCCUAUGAGCAUGAAGCAUUAGUGCUGCUGUUGUUAUGAUUAAGAACAGAGUCUGCUGCUGAAUAAUUCAUUUGAUGUGAAAAACAGCCAGCAAGUUGUUGAACAAAAAUGAUGUACAAUGAGACAUAAUUACAGAGUGGUUGCAGAGAGCAGGAUGCAGAUGGAGCUCUCAGGUUGGUUGCUGGUGACAUCAGAGCAUGGACAAGCACAGAUGCGUGUUGGGCUGCAUACUUCAUUUUCAAAUUAUUGUAUCACUUUGCCUUUAACUUUUGAGAUACUCAAGGACUGCCUCAUUUGGAGGGAUCAUUUCUGGUGGAGAAAGUGGACCCCAGUUUUUUAGUACUUACCAUUACUGAUGGUAAUGGCUCUAGAAAUAGUAAGUACUACUGGCUGGGAGGCACUGUCUUGUCACAUCAAUACUGGUUUUCUUGACAGGAGAAAUGGUUAGAACUGCUAAGUCCUCACAGACAUAUCAUGUUGUGGACACCAAAACUUUUUGCAGCAAAUUUUAAAAAUUGGAAGGAGAUUCUGUGCCUCAGAUUCCUGCUUGUAAAAAGAUACCCACAUUCACAGAGCCCAGCCUGCAGUGUGGGAGCUUUAGAGCUGUCUCUGUUCUUCAUCAAAUCACACAGGAAAAGCUUUCUCUGCCUUGGCUUGGGAAGGAAAUUAAUCCCUCUCUACUCUGCUUUCUUAACCCCCCUCCACCUGGAGUACUGCAUCCAGCUCUGGAGUCCCCAGCAUAAGAAGGACAUGGAUGUGUUGGAGCAGGUCCAGAGAAGGGCCGUGAAGAUGACCAGAAGGCUGGAGCAUCAGCAAAAAACAGACACUAAAUCAAAAACUAAACCAGAAACUUAGAUCUAUUUCAGCCAAUUUGUCAUCAGAAUUAAACAAACAACCAGAUCUUCCAGAUACUACUGACAGAUUCAAGUCUGGCUUGGGAGACUGAAAGAUCUCUCCUGUAUCCCAGGUCUCUGGCUAUUUCUGACCUGUAAGCCAGAUUCAAGGGAUGGGGAGCUUGGAAGAUAUGGAUGGCUUAGAGCCAGGGAGAGAAAGUGGAACACAAGAAGAGGCUUUAUCAUGCAUUUCCUAUAUAAUAGCCAAAAUACCCUUCUGUUCUUUCUCAUAUAUCCUAGAGAGAACACAACUGAAGUGUGAAGAAUUGUUUAAUGGAUUUAGUAAUAGUAUUGAUCUUCUGUCAUUUAAAAAGGGACUCAGGGCUUAAUCAGAUCUGUAGAAGUGUCUCAUUAUUUACUUUGCCAAAGGAAAGGAUUAGAUAUCAGAGAAAGAAAAGGCCCUUCUGCAGGCACGGGUUUACUCCGCAGGAUGAAAAUUCAUUCCAUUUACUCUUACCUGCAUAUGUGUUUAAAUAGGAAAGAACCCAAACAACUCUCUGUGAGAUUCUGCCUGGAGGAAUCAGUACAGUAGCAAUAAACAGAGGUAGGCUCAGCAACACAGCAAGUUGACUCUUAGAUUUCCAACACCCUGAUUUAGCUCCUGUCGGAACUCAAAAGGUCCCUCAGACAUUUUUGGAUAUUCCAGGCCCAGGUCAGAAGCAUUUGAGGCCCUGUCAGGCAGCUGGAAACAGCUGUGAUUU